CUUGCUAAGCUGCAACUGACGCUGAGGCUCGAAAGCAUGGGUAGCGAACAGGAUUAGAUACCCUGGUAGUCC
RNAcentral lists this ribosomal RNA (72 nucleotides) under Lactobacillus acidophilus. RNAcentral describes it as "partial 16S ribosomal RNA". It matches the Rfam family "Bacterial small subunit ribosomal RNA", at positions 725 to 796 of the family's 1533-position model. Lineage: Bacteria; Bacillati; Bacillota; Bacilli; Lactobacillales; Lactobacillaceae. The record is from RNAcentral.